GUCUACCGCCGUGCCACCCUGAACGUGCCCGAUCUCGUCUGAUCUCGGAAGCUAAGCAGGGUCGGGCCUGGUUAGUACUUGGAUGGGAGACCACCUAGGAAGACCAGGUGCUGUAGGCG
This 119-nucleotide ribosomal RNA is filed under the name Pteropus alecto (black flying fox). The record is from RNAcentral. Lineage: Eukaryota; Metazoa; Chordata; Mammalia; Chiroptera; Pteropodidae.